GACGUAGGGGGCCAGCGUUGCUCGGAAUUACUGGGUGUAAAGGGUUCGUAGGCGGUGUGGCAAGUCGGGAGUGAAAUCUCUGGGCUCAACCCAGAGUCUGCUUCCGAAACUGCUGUGCUUGAGUGUGGGAGAGGCGCGUGGAAUUGCAGGUGUAGCGGUGAAAUGCGUAGAUAUCGAGAGGAACACCUGCGGCGAAGGCGGGUUGCUGGGCUGACACUGACGCUGAGGCGCGAAAGCUAGGGGAGCGAACGGG
This 253-nucleotide ribosomal RNA is filed under the name uncultured bacterium. RNAcentral describes it as "partial 16S ribosomal RNA". It matches the Rfam family "Bacterial small subunit ribosomal RNA", at positions 524 to 776 of the family's 1533-position model. The record is from RNAcentral.